UGCAUUUGGCGGGAUCUGUGUCUCUCGCUGGUGCUGGCACAGGAGCUUGGGAUCUGUCUCCUCUUUCGCCUCCUGCACCUUGAGAGCCCUGGGCUACUCUGUCACAGCCCCUGUUGCCCUGCGAUCUGUAGGUCCUUGGGGACGCAUAGUUAAGGUGCCAGGACAUCCUGGAAGCUGGGAAAUGAUUUCUUCCAGACCAUGGCUGGAGAAGGAAAGAAGGUGUGUUUUGCCUGAUUCAGGGACUAUAGAGAGAACCAAGUUCUGCAGGCCUGUCAUCUAAGUCUCAGGGCGGGGAGACCUUCCUUCCCCACGGGUUUGAGGCUAUGGCUAAGUGGUGAGCCUUGGUGAGACGCAGAAAGGAUCCAUCCCAGGCACUUGGCUAGAGGGCAAGAAAGCUUUCUAAGACCCCGAACUCCAGAUAUGCGAUGGGGCAAAUCCUGAAGCGUACAUGGCUAUCUCUCACAGCUAAAGCAUCCCUCACCCCUAUCCAGCGCUUCUUACCCCUGGCGCAAGAGAAUCACCUGCGGGGAGGAAAACUUUCAAAAUCCCUUAAACCCAAGUUGUAACCGCACAACUAAAUCAGAAUCCUUGGAGCUGGAUCUGAAAAAAAUAUGGUUGAAAGUCGUGCAGGUGAUUACAAUGUGUAGGCAAGCCAGAAAACCAUGGCUUUAACGAGCAGCUUUUGUUAGAAAUGAUUUCUCCAAUGAAUGUGAAAACGUUUGCUGCUGAAUUGUGACCUUUCCAUUUUACCUGCUUUUCCUGCAAAGUAUAUUUUGCAGACCCAGGCUGGCUUCUCCUUCUGUUCCUGGUUCACCCAGUGCCGUGUGUGCUCAGUGCAUCCUGUGCACGGGUCACUGUGUGCCCUGGCCUGGGUGAGCAUCAUUCUUCGGGGAGAACCUUGAUGAAAACAAAGCUGCAUUCCAAAAAGUUAAAACCAUGCUACUUACUGUGUUGAAGUAAAAAUUAAAAGACCCAGGGGGGCUCACCCAAAAGUUAAAACAUAAAUAAAUAACUUGGAACAUUAACAUACACCUGAUGAUGUCCUGAGUGAACACGCCCCACUUGAAAACAAAACAAAACAUUGCUAUUAUUCUAAAAUAUUAAUUUAGGAUUGUUAUGCAAACAUGCACUCUUUACAUUUUUAUUGAUAAAUAACAUGCAUACAGCAAUAUAGGCACAAAGCAUUUAGGGAAUGUUUGAUGAAUUAUUACUAAAUAAAUACACUUGUGUAUCUAAGAAUCAGAUUUGUUCAUGCCCCUGACACUUUCCCCUUCCCAAAGGUAACCAAGACCUUAAGAGCUAAGUGUAGAUAAACUUUGUCAUUUUGUACAAGUGUUUUAUUACAGAUCACUAAAAACAUACACAAUACAAAAAAAGUAUAACAGACCAGUCACCCAGCUUUAACAGCUGCUAGUCAUGUGUCAUUUUUGUUUUAUCUAUACUUCCAGCCAUGCCCCCACCCCCAAUUUCAUUAUUUUUUAGGCUUUUUGGAUAAAAUGUAUAUUCAUUGCAAGGUACAAUGCGAACUGUAAAUAGUAGAGAGAUGGGGUUUUACCAUGUUGGUCAGGCUGUUCUUGAACUCCUGACCUCAGGUGAUCCACUCUCUUCCACCUCGCAAAGUGCUGGGAUUACAGGCGUGAGCCAAUAUACUCGGCCUGAGAAUUCAUAUUUCUAAUAAAGUACAAAUCCAUAGGGCACAUGACAACUGCAAUGUCUAUCUACAGUAAAAACAGUUUGAUGAAUAAAAUGAAAGGCAAUUGACUUAAGGUGGGAAAAAAACAAUCAAAGCAUGGGUACUAUGUGCCAUCUGUAGGAGCAUUUGGUUAAGAAUAACAAACAAACCAGUUUUAUUGUUUUAAUAACCGAAAUUGGCAAAAUUUCUAGUUUUUCUUUCAUAGGAAUGCUCUUAGCAAGAAAAAAUUUUCAUAUGGUGAGAGCAAAAAUGACAACCAUUUGCAAGUAAAUGUCUUAUGAAAUUAAGUAGCAGAUAUCAAGCUCAUGACCUUCAGAUUGUUACCCCUAACUCAAUCAUUUACAUAGCAAGUGCAGAUAAUUUUCAUAGUUCCCCAUUAAAAUUAUACUUUACUCCCCUUACAAAUUGUGACUGUUUUUAAAUAAAGUUCACUAACUAAAAUUUUGUAUAUGACAUAUGAUAAAUUUCCCUUCAAGUCACCUUAUAUUUACUUAAUUGUGUUAGCCAGUGUCUGUCUACCUCCCAACAAUACUUUGGGAUUCUCCCUCCAUUUGCACAGGCAUCAUAGCUGGGGAACAGGGAUUCAAAAGACCCAGGCUGUUCCCUACAUAUGUUUCCUCCUCAGACAUCAGUUAAUCAGUCAAUCAAGUCAAGUGAGAGUGGAGGCCAUGUAUUCCCUCUUAUUCUUGGGCACUCUCCUCCAAGGAGGAAAAGGCCAGGAGGUCCUGUUAGAGGAUGCACUCUGAGAGCCCGGGCUCCCUAAGGUAUGAGAGUUCUAACCAGCAGGUGUAGACUUUUCAGGAGUGAGGAAUGAGGCAGGCAUUCCAAACCUGGAGCUUCAUCACCUUUUGUUUCAUCUCAAGACAAUUCUGAGGGGCUGUUUUGGAGCGUGUCUGGAAGGUGAACGUUGAAGAAGAGUGUGGGCUUUGAUGUGACUCAG
RNAcentral lists this long non-coding RNA (2633 nucleotides) under Homo sapiens (human). RNAcentral's name for it is "HSALNT0402634". Lineage: Eukaryota; Metazoa; Chordata; Mammalia; Primates; Hominidae. The record is from RNAcentral.